This 1248-nucleotide long non-coding RNA is filed under the name Callithrix jacchus (white-tufted-ear marmoset). Its description in RNAcentral is "lncRNA (ENSCJAG00000073802.1)". The record is from RNAcentral. Lineage: Eukaryota; Metazoa; Chordata; Mammalia; Primates; Cebidae.
GCGCCUCGCGCCAUCUCCUACACACAGUGGUCGCUUAGUAAAUAUGGGUGGUUUUUAUGAGAUGUGUAUCUGCAAAUCACCCCUCGCGAAGGAUUCUGGAGGAUUUGAAAAUAAAAAGAAUCGAAGUGCACGAAACGGUUGUGUUUCUAUUUACCUAGGCUUUAGAAAGGAAAACCUGACUUAGUCUUUAAAUAGAGCGAGUGCACGGUGCCUCGAGUUGCUCAGUAACCUCACACCGUUCUAUUUGUGUAAGUGUAUCGCACAGGAACGUGUGGUUCCGUCUAAUUCCUUUAGGAUGCGAAACAUUGCCCAGGGAUUCUGACUUUAUUCAGAGGGAAGAGCUUGACCUAUGCAAAGCGCUGUUAAAAAUUAACAUGAAAUUAAUUUUAAAACUGUUUGGAAAUAAUUCCAAGUUAGCAAAAACAAAAAUAGUACAAAGAACCUUGAUACAUAGAGUCACCUUUUAAAAAUAUUUUACUCCAUUUGCUUAAUCCUUAUUUGCACAUUCUCUCUCUCCUUCCCUCCACACAAAUGUAUAUUUUUUUCUUAAAUCAUUUAAUGGUGACCUUCUAGCCCUAAAUAUUAUAAUGUGUAUUUCUGGAGAAUAGGACUAUCCUCUUGCAUAACCACAGUAUAAUGAUCAACUACGUAAGUGUAUAUUUACUUUUAUUUGAUUUACUGUCCAUAUCUAAGUUUUUUUAGGUUGACUUAAUAUCCCUUAUAGCAAUAUUUCCCCCUUCAGUACCUGAGUAAGAUUAGGAUCAGGCAUUCCAUCCUCAGAAAGUCACACUUAAUAGGUGUGGUCUGAGGCCCAGGAGUCCAUUUAAAAUUUUUAUUUUUUAUUUUUCCAGAAGCUUCCUAGAUGAUGAUGAUGAUGAUGAUGAUGAUGAGAGGUUCCAGAACAUGAGAUGCACAGAGCCGACCGAGGUCUGGAGCCCCCGCAGGUGCAGCGCGAGGGGUAGUCAGAUGGGGUUGCUUCCUCCCGGCGGGUUCAACCUCGUGCACGGAGCAGGACCCGACCUCUCUCACUUGGUCUGCAAAACAAGAGGCCAGGACAUCUGCCGUCAAAGGGGCCAAGCAGAAGGCCCUAGUGGUUUCUGCCUUCCUAACGCUGCAGCCGGAGUGCUGGGAGCCCACGCAAGCCCUUCAACAGCAUGGGGUCUGUGUCUGCCUUUGCUUUGGAACCUUAAACAUUUUUGUUUGUCAAAUAUUGGAUACCUACUAAAACACAUUUGCAUACAUAUUUAA